This 460-nucleotide ribosomal RNA is filed under the name uncultured bacterium. Its description in RNAcentral is "partial 16S ribosomal RNA". It matches the Rfam family "Bacterial small subunit ribosomal RNA", at positions 338 to 795 of the family's 1533-position model. The record is from RNAcentral.
CCUACGGGAGGCAGCAGUGAGGAAUAUUGGUCAAUGGACGAGAGUCUGAACCAGCCAAGUAACGUGAAGGAUGACUGCCCUAUGGGUUGUAAACUUCUUUUAUAAAGGAAUAAAACGAGGCACGUGUGCCUUUUUGCAUGUACUUUAUGAAUAAGGAUCGGCUAACUCCGUGCCAGCAGCCGCGGUAAUACGGAGGAUCCGAGCGUUAUCCGGAUUUAUUGGGUUUAAAGGGAGCGUAGAUGGGUUGUUAAGUCAGUUGUGAAAGUUUGCGGCUCAACCGUAAAAUUGCAAUUGAUACUGGCAGUCGUGAGUACAGUUGAGGUAGGCGGAAUUCGUGGUGUAGCGGUGAAAUGCUUAGAUAUCACGAAGAACCCCGAUUGCGAAGGCAGCUUACUAAACUGUGACUGACAUUGAUGCUCGAAAGUGUGGGUAUCAAACAGGAUUAGAUACCCGGGUAGUC